This 312-nucleotide long non-coding RNA is filed under the name Mytilus galloprovincialis (Mediterranean mussel). Lineage: Eukaryota; Metazoa; Mollusca; Bivalvia; Mytilida; Mytilidae. The record is from RNAcentral.
CCCAAACUGAGUCACCGAGAUUUACUCCCAACUUCUCCCAAAUUCGUCUCCUUAAUUUCCUCCAAAAGUCUCCCUAAUUGUCUCCUUAAUUUCCUCCUAAAGUCUCCCAAAUUAGUCUCCUUAAUUUACUCCCACAAUCUCCCUAAUGUAUCUUCUUAAUUUCCUCCUAAAGUCUCCCCAAUUCGUGUCCUAAUUUCCUCCUAAAUUCUCCGAGAUUUCAAGUUUGGUGUUUCAUAAAAAUCAAUUCCAAACCACAACAAUUACUGCUUUCCGUAGUUGAUCAUUUUAGUUUUAUAAGAAUGUCAGCCAAUC